This 257-nucleotide ribosomal RNA is filed under the name uncultured bacterium. RNAcentral describes it as "partial 16S ribosomal RNA". It matches the Rfam family "Bacterial small subunit ribosomal RNA", at positions 524 to 776 of the family's 1533-position model. The record is from RNAcentral.
UACAGAGACCUCAAGCGUUAUCCGGAAUCAUUGGGCGUAAAGCGUACCGAUAGGUGGUCUAAAAAGUCAGAUGUGAAAUUCCAAGGCUCAACCUUGGGACUGUCAUUUGAAACUUUUAGACUAGAGGGGCAAAGAGGAAGCUGGAACGAACGGUGUAGUAGUGAAAUGCGUUGAUAUCGUUCGGAACACCAAUAGCGAAGGCGGGCUUCUGGGUGCCACCUGACACUGCUAGGACGAAAGCGUGGGGAGCGAAUGGG